This 1649-nucleotide ribosomal RNA is filed under the name Salmonella enterica. RNAcentral describes it as "partial 23S ribosomal RNA". It matches the Rfam family "Bacterial large subunit ribosomal RNA", at positions 1292 to 2925 of the family's 2925-position model. RNAcentral also lists the same sequence under 1 other name. The record is from RNAcentral. Lineage: Bacteria; Pseudomonadati; Pseudomonadota; Gammaproteobacteria; Enterobacterales; Enterobacteriaceae.
GAAUGCUGACAUAAGUAACGAUAAAGCGGGUGAAAAGCCCGCUCGCCGGAAGACCAAGGGUUCCUGUCCAACGUUAAUCGGGGCAGGGUGAGUCGACCCCUAAGGCGAGGCCGAAAGGCGUAGUCGAUGGGAAACGGGUUAAUAUUCCCGUACUUGGUGUUACUGCGAAGGGGGGACGGAGAAGGCUAUGUUGGCCGGGCGACGGUUGUCCCGGUUUAAGCGUGUAGGUGUGUGUUCCAGGUAAAUCCGGUUCACUUUAACACUGAGGCGUGACGACGAGGCACUACGGUGCUGAAGCAACAAAUGCCCUGCUUCCAGGAAAAGCCUCUAAGCAUCAGGUAACAUCAAAUCGUACCCCAAACCGACACAGGUGGUCAGGUAGAGAAUACCAAGGCGCUUGAGAGAACUCGGGUGAAGGAACUAGGCAAAAUGGUGCCGUAACUUCGGGAGAAGGCACGCUGACACGUAGGUGAAGUGAUUUACUCAUGGAGCUGAAGUCAGUCGAAGAUACCAGCUGGCUGCAACUGUUUAUUAAAAACACAGCACUGUGCAAACACGAAAGUGGACGUAUACGGUGUGACGCCUGCCCGGUGCCGGAAGGUUAAUUGAUGGGGUCAGCGCAAGCGAAGCUCCUGAUCGAAGCCCCGGUAAACGGCGGCCGUAACUAUAACGGUCCUAAGGUAGCGAAAUUCCUUGUCGGGUAAGUUCCGACCUGCACGAAUGGCGUAAUGAUGGCCAGGCUGUCUCCACCCGAGACUCAGUGAAAUUGAACUCGCUGUGAAGAUGCAGUGUACCCGCGGCAAGACGGAAAGACCCCGUGAACCUUUACUAUAGCUUGACACUGAACAUUGAGCCUUGAUGUGUAGGAUAGGUGGGAGGCUUUGAAGUGUGGACGCCAGUCUGCAUGGAGCCGACCUUGAAAUACCACCCUUUAAUGUUUGAUGUUCUAACGUGGACCCGUUACCCGGGUUGCGGACAGUGUCUGGUGGGUAGUUUGACUGGGGCGGUCUCCUCCUAAAGAGUAACGGAGGAGCACGAAGGUUGGCUAAUCCUGGUCGGACAUCAGGAGGUUAGUGCAAUGGCAUAAGCCAGCUUGACUGCGAGCGUGACGGCGCGAGCAGGUGCGAAAGCAGGUCAUAGUGAUCCGGUGGUUCUGAAUGGAAGGGCCAUCGCUCAACGGAUAAAAGGUACUCCGGGGAUAACAGGCUGAUACCGCCCAAGAGUUCAUAUCGACGGCGGUGUUUGGCACCUCGAUGUCGGCUCAUCACAUCCUGGGGCUGAAGUAGGUCCCAAGGGUAUGGCUGUUCGCCAUUUAAAGUGGUACGCGAGCUGGGUUUAGAACGUCGUGAGACAGUUCGGUCCCUAUCUGCCGUGGGCGCUGGAGAACUGAGGGGGGCUGCUCCUAGUACGAGAGGACCGGAGUGGACGCAUCACUGGUGUUCGGGUUGUCAUGCCAAUGGCACUGCCCGGUAGCUAAAUGCGGAAGAGAUAAGUGCUGAAAGCAUCUAAGCACGAAACUUGCCCCGAGAUGAGUUCUCCCUGAGACUUAAAGUCUCCUGAAGGAACGUUGAAGACGACGACGUUGAUAGGCCGGGUGUGUAAGCGCAGCGAUGCGUUGAGCUAACCGGUACUAAUGAACCGUGAGGCUU